This 113-nucleotide ribosomal RNA is filed under the name Acinetobacter baumannii 15827. The record is from RNAcentral. Lineage: Bacteria; Pseudomonadati; Pseudomonadota; Gammaproteobacteria; Moraxellales; Moraxellaceae.
CUGGACCAUAGCAAGAGUGAACCACCUGAUCCCUUCCCGAACUCAGAAGUGAAACCUCUUAGCGCUGAUGGUAGUGUGGGAUUACCCAUGUGAGAGUAAGUCAUCGCCAGCUC